RNAcentral lists this long non-coding RNA (235 nucleotides) under Rattus norvegicus (Norway rat). Its description in RNAcentral is "long non-coding RNA NONRATT007552". The record is from RNAcentral. Lineage: Eukaryota; Metazoa; Chordata; Mammalia; Rodentia; Muridae.
CGCUCCUGCUGUAGCUUGCCCAUCUCCCGCUCCCACAAUCCGGCGUGAUGGCUGCCGCCGUUCCUGGCGCCGUUUCGCUCUCCCCACUGCUGUCCGUUCUCCUUGGCCUGCUGCUCCUCUCUGCUCCUCAUGGCGCCAGCGGCCUGCACACGAAGGGCGCCCUUCCCUUGGACACAGUCACUUUCUACAAGCCCGGGUACUCGCUACAUCUUUUUUACAAAAAAGCUACCAAGAC